Molecule: ribosomal RNA, 245 nt
Filed under: uncultured bacterium
Lineage: Bacteria
Description: partial 16S ribosomal RNA
Rfam family: Bacterial small subunit ribosomal RNA
Source: RNAcentral
CGUCGACCGGCGCACGGGUGAGUAACGCGUAUCCAACCUGCCCACCACUUGGGGAUAACCUUGCGAAAGUAAGACUAAUACCCAAUGAUAUCUCUAGAAGACAUCUGAAAGAGAUUAAAGAUUUAUCGGUGAUGGAUGGGGAUGCGUCUGAUUAGCUUGUUGGCGGGGUAACGGCCCACCAAGGCAACGAUCAGUAGGGGUUCUGAGAGGAAGGUCCCCCACAUUGGAACUGAGACACGGUCCAA